AGAAAAAGGAUAAUGGAAGUUACAGCAUUUAACUCUAUAAUGAAUAGAAUAGCUUGACCGGUAAAAAAUGAAUAAACUAGCUUAGCAUUUGUCUAGCGCAUUGGCAGCAGGAAAAUUGGUAAAUUUUAUAUAAAUGGUAUCCGUAUUGAGAGAACAAUGUUGUUCACUUGACUACUCUCUGGUCGUUCAAGAUUUUCACCAAGACAGUUGGUAUUAGUUGUUUAAUUUUGUCCAAUUAGUAUUGCUGAACGACCAUAACAGAAGUCCAAUUUUCAUACAUGUAGGAAUGAAAUGGGUUUACAUCAGUAGAUUUUUAUUUUCUUUAAUUUGUACUUAAAUUUAGACAGAUAUUGGACUUUGAUUCCAUCCUUACAAGCUCUUCCUUGAUUGUUGCUGAAUUGAAAGAUAUGAAGGAAGUUGCUGGGACCGCUUCUCUAUCUUCUUGCUUAUUGUCGGGUGUGCUCGUUAUUUAUUUUUUCUUGCAUAGUUUAUCUAGAUAUGAAAUACAUAUGUGACAUAGGCUUGGCAAACCGAUGUCUCUCUCUUUCUUUAAUAAGGAAGGUACUUGUGUUGUUAGUAGUUUCUGUUGGGUGAUGGAAUGACUGGAGGAGCUGAAGAAAAUGGAUUUUAGUGUGUCAGCUGGAUCGCAGGUAAUAUUUAACAAAACUGAAUUUGAAAUGUCCAGUUUUCCUUUGCAGUUGGUACUUGCUCUAGAUUCUACUCUGCUCAGUAGUUGGAAUCUGAGCAAGUGAGCAGUAGUGGUUGUUGCCAAUCCUUUCUUUUGUAUAAUUUUUAUAUGACAGGAGCUUCUACUCAAACUGAUAAUUCCAGGAGUAUUAUCAUUUGGAUAUCUCUACUGGACAUGGACAUGGACAUGGACAUGAUAAAUAUCUUCUUCAUACAUAUUUGUAGCUUUGAGUCUUGUAACCAAGAUAAGGGUCAACUUGUGCAUAAAUAUUUGAUAAACAAGUUAUGUGAAUGAAACUUUUAGAUGGGUGAAAUGUGUGGGUGUCCUGAUCUUCUUUGAUGUUUGAGAGGUAAAUUUGGUAAAACUGAUUGGUCUGUAAAGGGUUUUCCUUAUUUUGUGUGCAUUAUAGAUAUGUAUGUGUUUGUUGGAUCUACUGACAUCAUAUUUAGGUUGCAAGCAACAAAAUUCUGUUUCAUGAUGCAUUAGGUAGUUGUGAUUUUGGUAUUGUUGUUUACAUAUGCUAAAACUGUGUUUGUUGUAGAAAAUUGCAGAUUACAGACUUUAGUUGAGUUCAAGCAGAUGUAUGCAUCAAUUCUUGUGUCAAAACUUGGAAG
This 1302-nucleotide long non-coding RNA is filed under the name Panax ginseng (ginseng). RNAcentral describes it as "long non-coding RNA (PGIN_LNC015018)". Lineage: Eukaryota; Viridiplantae; Streptophyta; Magnoliopsida; Apiales; Araliaceae. The record is from RNAcentral.